GAUGAAGAACGCAGCGAAAUGCGAUAAGUAAUGUGAAUUGCAGAAUUCAGUGAAUCAUCGAAUCUUUGAACGCACCUUGCGCCCUUUGGCCAUUCCGAAGGGCUUGCCUGUUUGAGUAUCAUGAACACCUCAACUCUUUAUGGUUUUCCAUGAUGAGCUUGGACUCUGGGGGUUUUGCUGGCUCACAGUCGGCUCCUCUAAAAUGAAUCAGCUUACCAGUGUUUGGUGGGUAUCAUGGGUGUGAUAACUAUCUACGCUUGUGGUUUUUCCACCAGGUAACCUUCAGCAGUGGAGGUUCGCUGGAGCUCAUAGAUGUCUCUCCUCAGUGAGGACAGCCCUUUGAAUGUUUGAUCUCAAAUCAGGUAGGACUACCCGCUGAACUUAAGCAUAUCAAUAAGCGGAGGA
This 405-nucleotide unclassified non-coding RNA is filed under the name soil metagenome. RNAcentral describes it as "partial contains 5.8S ribosomal RNA, internal transcribed spacer 2, and large subunit ribosomal RNA". The stretch from base 1 to 121 matches the Rfam family "5.8S ribosomal RNA", at positions 35 to 154 of the family's 154-position model. The record is from RNAcentral.